RNAcentral lists this ribosomal RNA (279 nucleotides) under uncultured bacterium. Its description in RNAcentral is "partial 16S ribosomal RNA". It matches the Rfam family "Bacterial small subunit ribosomal RNA", at positions 506 to 784 of the family's 1533-position model. The record is from RNAcentral.
UGCCAGCCGCCGCGGUAAUACAGAGGGUGCAAGCGUUAAUCGGACUUACUGGGCGUAAAGGGUGCGUAGGUGGCACUUUAAGUCGUGUGUGAAAGGCUCGGGCUCAACCUGGGGACUGCAGACGAAACUAAAGAGCUAGAGUAUGGUAGAGGAAAGUAGAAUUUCCAGUGUAGCGGUGAAAUGCGUAGAGAUUGGAAGGAAUACCAGUGGCGAAGGCGGCUUUCUGGACUGAUACUGACACUGAGGCACGAAAGCGUGGGUAGCGAACAGGAUUAGAUA